This 451-nucleotide ribosomal RNA is filed under the name uncultured bacterium. Its description in RNAcentral is "bacterial SSU rRNA". It matches the Rfam family "Bacterial small subunit ribosomal RNA", at positions 29 to 524 of the family's 1533-position model. The record is from RNAcentral.
AACGAACGCUGGCGGCAUGCCUAACACAUGCAAGUCGAACGAGACCUUCGGGUCUAGUGGCGCACGGGUGCGUAACGCGUGGGAACCUGCCUUUAGGUUCGGAAUAACUCAGAGAAAUUUGAGCUAAUACCGGAUAAUGUCUUCGGACCAAAGAUUUAUCGCCUUUAGAUGGGCCCGCGUUGGAUUAGCUAGUUGGUGGGUAAAGGCCUACCAAGGCGACGAUCCAUAGCUGGUCUGAGAGGAUGAUCAGCCACACUGGGACUGAGACACGGCCCAGACUCCUACGGGAGGCAGCAGUGGGGAAUAUUGGACAAUGGGCGAAAGCCUGAUCCAGCAAUGCCGCGUGAGUGAUGAAGGCCUUAGGGUUGUAAAAGCUCUUUUACCCGAGAUGAUAAUGACAGUAUCGGGAGAAUAAGACUCCGGCUAACUCCGUGCCAGCAGCCGCGGUAAU